UACAGAGGGUGCGAGCGUUGUCCGGAAUCACUGGGCGUAAAGGGCGCGUAGGUGGUGGCUUAAGCGUGCGGUGAAAGCUCGGGGCUCAACUCCGAGUCGGCCGUGCGAACUGGGCUCACUGGAGCAUAGUAGAGGCAGGUGGAAUUCCGGGUGUAGCGGUGGAAUGCGUAGAGAUCCGGAAGAACACCGGUGGCGAAGGCGGCCUGCUGGGCUAUGGCUGAUACUGAGGCGCGACAGCGUGGGGAGCAAACAGG
Molecule: ribosomal RNA, 254 nt
Filed under: uncultured bacterium
Lineage: Bacteria
Description: partial 16S ribosomal RNA
Rfam family: Bacterial small subunit ribosomal RNA
Source: RNAcentral